GGCUCAGGAGGCAGAGCUCUGAAUGUCUCACCAUGGCCUGGAUCCCUCUCCUGCUCCCCCUCCUCACUCUCUGCACAGUCUCUGUGGCCUCCUAUGAGCUGACACAGCCAUCCUCAGUGUCAGUGUCUCCGGGACAGACAGCCAGGAUCACCUGCUCUGGAGAUGUACUGGCAAAAAAUUAUGCUGGUUGGUACCAGCAGAAGCCAGGCCAGGCCCCUGUGCUGGUGAUAUAUAAAGACAGUGAGCGGCCCUCAGGGAUCCCUGAGCGAUUCUCUGGCUCCAGCUCAGGGACCACAGUCACCUUGACCAUCAGUGGGGCCCAGGCAGAAGACGAGGCUGACUAUUACUGUCUAUCAGCAGACAGCAGUGGUAAUCAUCCCACAGUGACACAAGCAGACAGGGAAAUGGUCACUCAGCAGUGGCUACAGCCAGGCCAGCUCCAGUUAGUGGAAAUCCACAUUGAUGAGCCCAUGGACAGCCUCCAUCCCUGCUACCAUGGGCACUUUUUUUUAUGGAGCCCAUUGGGCAUUGACAAGAGUGGUUGA
This is a non-coding RNA of Gorilla gorilla gorilla (western lowland gorilla), 545 nucleotides long. The record is from the annotation of a RefSeq genome assembly. NCBI's taxonomy places the organism in Eukaryota, Metazoa, Chordata, Mammalia, Primates, Hominidae.